Molecule: long non-coding RNA, 1098 nt
Filed under: Serinus canaria (Common canary)
Lineage: Eukaryota; Metazoa; Chordata; Aves; Passeriformes; Fringillidae
Description: lncRNA (ENSSCAG00000001730.1)
Source: RNAcentral
CCCAAACCGAGUAGGGGUGGUCUGAGAGCUGCUCCAUGGCCUGGGGGGCAAAGGGACCAAAACAGCACAAAAUCGACCCAAAACCAACCCAAAAACCAGCCCAAACCUGACCCAAAAACCAACAGCCCAAAAAGUGACCCAAAACCGCACAAAAAUGACCCAAAACAGACCCAAAAACCACACCCAAAACUGACCCGACACCACCCAAAAACCAGUCUAAAAACUGACCCAAAACAGCACAAAACCAGCCCAAAAAUCAACCCAAAACUGACCCAAAGAACGGCCCAAAAACUGACCCAAAACCGCACCAAAACCAGCCCAAAACUGACCCAAAAUCACCCAAAAACUGUCCCAAAACGGAGCCAAAAACUGCACCAAAAAACAGCCCAAAAACCAACACAAACCGACCCAAAACUGACCCAAAGUGGCCCAAAACCGAGCCAAAAACUGACCCAAAACCCACAUCAAAAACGGCCCAAAACUGACCCCAAACCAGCCCGAAACCAACCCAAAAAACACCCCAAAAUCAACCCAAAGCUGACGACCCAAAAAACACCCAAAACUGACCCAAAAAACACCCCAAAACCACCCCCAAACUGGGAUUUCUACCCCAAUCCCGUUGUUUCCCCCAAUCCCAUUUUUUCCCCAAAUCCUGUUUUUCCCCCCAACCCCAUUUUCCCCCCAAUUUUUUUCCCCAAAUCCCAUUUUUUCCCCAAUCCAAUUUUUACUCCCAAAUCCCAUUAUUCCCCCGAAAUCCUGGUGUUUUUCCCAAAAUCCCGUUUAUUCCCCCCAAAUCCCAUUUUUCCCCAAAUCCCAUUUUCCCCCCAAUCCCAUUUUCCCCCCAAAAUCCCGGUGUUUUUCCCCAAAUCCCGGUGUUUUUUACCCAAAAUCCCGGUGGUUUUUCCCCCCAAUCCUGGUGUUUUUCCCCCCAAAAUCCCAUUUUUUACCCAAAAUCCCGGUGUUUUUUCCCCAAAUCCCGUUUAUUUUCCCCCAAAAUCCCAUUUAUUUCCCCCAAAAUCCCGUUUAUUUCCUCCCCAAAAUCCCAUUUCCCCCCCCAAACUUACCAUUUCUCCCCAAACCCACUUUCCUUACUGUUUC